This 75-nucleotide transfer RNA is filed under the name Polyangiaceae bacterium. RNAcentral's name for it is "tRNA-OTHER". It matches the Rfam family "tRNA". Rfam says of the family: Transfer RNA (tRNA) molecules are approximately 80 nucleotides in length. Their secondary structure includes four short double-helical elements and three loops (D, anti-codon, and T loops). The record is from RNAcentral. Lineage: Bacteria; Pseudomonadati; Myxococcota; Polyangiales; Polyangiaceae.
GUCCCCAUCGUCUAGUCAGGUCCAGGACGCAGCCCAUCAAGGCUGAAACACGAGGUUCAAAUCCCGUUGGGGACG